Cavia aperea (Brazilian guinea pig) is the source of this 99-nucleotide small nuclear RNA. The record is from Ensembl. NCBI's taxonomy places the organism in Eukaryota, Metazoa, Chordata, Mammalia, Rodentia, Caviidae.
GUGCUUGUUUUGGCAGCAUAUACAAUAAAAUUAGAAUGAAACAGAUGAGUAUGACCCCUGCACAGGUAGUCAUGCAAAUUUAUAGUCCUCCAUAUUUCA